UACGUAGGGUGCAAGUGUUGUCCGGAUUUAUUGGGCGUAAAGGGCGCGUAGGCGGCCACGCACGACCGUUGUGAAAUCGCUCGGCUCAACUGGGCGGGGUCAGCGGAUACGGUGUGGCUAGAGCAAGCUAGGGGGCAAUGGAAUUCCCGGUGUAGUGGUGGAAUGCGUAGAUAUCGGGAGGAACACCAGUGGCGAAGGCGGUUGCCUGGAGCUUUGCUGACGCUGAUGCGCGAAAGCGUGGGGAGCGAUCCGG
Molecule: ribosomal RNA, 253 nt
Filed under: uncultured bacterium
Lineage: Bacteria
Description: partial 16S ribosomal RNA
Rfam family: Bacterial small subunit ribosomal RNA
Source: RNAcentral